Molecule: ribosomal RNA, 577 nt
Filed under: alpha proteobacterium IMCC14246
Lineage: Bacteria; Pseudomonadati; Pseudomonadota; Alphaproteobacteria
Description: bacterial SSU rRNA
Rfam family: Bacterial small subunit ribosomal RNA
Source: RNAcentral
AACGUACGCUGGCGGGCAACGCCUAACACAUGCAAGUCGAAACGAAGUAGCAAUACUUAGUGGCAGACGGGUGAGUAACAUGUAGGUAUCUGCCCUUUUGGCCUGGAAUAACACGAGGAAACUUGUGCUAAUACCGGAUAAGUCUUUACGGAGAAAGCUUUAUGCACCAUUGGAUGAGCCUGCACUUGAUUAGUUUGUUGGUGGGGUAAUGGCCUACCAAGACUGUGAUCAAUAGCUGAUUUGAGAGGAUGAUCAGCCACAUUGGGACUGAGACACGGCCCAAACUCCUACGGGAGGCAGCAGUGGGGAAUCUUGCACAAUGGAGGAAACUCUGAUGCAGCGAUGCCGCGUGAGUGAAGAAGGCCUUUGGGUUGUAAAGCUCUUUCGUCGGGGAAGAAAAUGACUGUACCCGAAUAAGAAGGUCCGGCUAACUUCGUGCCAGCAGCCGCGGUAAUACGAAGGGACCUAGCGUAGUUCGGAAUUACUGGGCUUAAAGAGUUCGUAGGUGGUUGAAAAAGUUAGUGGUGAAAUCCCAGAGCUUAACUCUGGAACUGCCAUUAAACUUUUCAGUGAGAGU